AUGCUCAUGAAGCCCUUGCUGCAGCUAAUGAGCCAACAGCAGCAGGCAAAGUACCCUGUCAAGGGAAUAAUCCAAAUCACCUUUCCUGGAAGUCAGUUUGCUGAAACUACUGAAGCCAGCAGUUCUUGGAAGUUGAAGAAAAGUCGCUUCCUUAAGAUGUAUCUGAACUGUGCCUCAGACGUAGAAGAUGCCUCCAUGAACGCUGAUUGGAUGAGCAGCGGUCACCUCGUGUGUGGAUUCCUACGUACCUCCACCAUUCCACUAUACAGGGCCUGUGCUAUAAAUCGAUUUUAUUCUUUGAGCAUUCAUCAGAGAUUUUUAAUCUCUAGUUGCUUUUUGUGUUUUGGCUGUUGGGGAAGUGAAGCAAAGCUUUCAUAUCUAGUUUUUAUUUUUCAUGGGCACUUUGGUUCCACAUUGAGCUGUGAUCCAGAAGCUGGAGGGGAAGGGAAGUGA
Molecule: long non-coding RNA, 453 nt
Filed under: Bos indicus x Bos taurus (hybrid cattle)
Lineage: Eukaryota; Metazoa; Chordata; Mammalia; Artiodactyla; Bovidae
Description: lncRNA (ENSBIXG00000029338.1)
Source: RNAcentral